This 1391-nucleotide ribosomal RNA is filed under the name Rhodogorgon sp. Its description in RNAcentral is "SSU rRNA". It matches the Rfam family "Bacterial small subunit ribosomal RNA". The record is from RNAcentral. Lineage: Eukaryota; Rhodophyta; Florideophyceae; Rhodogorgonales; Rhodogorgonaceae.
UAAAAUAAAAAUAUGUAAUAAUAAAAAGAGUUUGAUCCUGGCUCAGAAUGAACGUUUGUAAUUGGCUUAACACAUGCGAGUUAAAUAGAUUUAUGAAAAUAUAAAUAAAUGGCGUACGGGUGAGUAAAGCAUAAGAAUUAAUCUUUAAAUUUGGGGAAAUCCAAUUAAAUUUAAUUGUUUUUAGAGUAGCUUAUGUAAGAUUAAGUUGUUGGUAAGGAAAAGUUUACCAAGCUUUUGAUCUUUAGUUGGUCUGUGAGGAUGAACAACCACAUUGGAAUUGAAAUAUGGUUCAAACUUUAUUAUAAAGGCAGCAGUGGGGAAUAUUGGGCAAUGAGCAAAAGCUUGACCCAGCUAAAUUAUGUGUGUGAAUUAAGAAAGUAAUAUAACUGUAAAGCACAAUGUUAAAAAAUAAUUAUGAUUGAUUUGGAAAAGUCCUGGCUAAUUUCGUGCCAGCAGCCGCGGUAAAACGAGAAGGACGAACGUUAUUCGAAAUAAUUGGGCGUAAAGAAUAUGUAGGUUGAAAAUUAACUAGUAAUUUAAAAGUUAAAAUUUAAUUUUAAUAAAAAAUACUAAAUUAAUUUUCUAGAGUUUAGGAGAAGAUUAUGGAACUUUAAGUGUAACGGUAAAAUGUAUUAAGAUUUAAAAGAACUUCAAGAGCGAAAGCAAUAAUCUAAACUAAUACUGACAUUAAGGUAUUAAAGCAUGGGGAGCGAAGGGGAUUAGAUACCCCCGUAGUCUAUGCCUUCAACGAUGAGUGUUUAUUUUUGGAUUUUUAAGUUUCAGAAAUGUAGUUAACAUGUUAAACACUUCGCCAGGGAACUAUGAUCGCAAGAUUAAAACUCAAAGGAAUUGACGGGGACCUAUACAAGCAGUGGAACAUGUGGUUUAAAUCGAAAAUACGCGUAGAACCUUACCAAUUUUUGUAUGUUUCACAGGUGUUGCAUGGCUGUCGUCAGCCCGUACUGUGAAGCGUUUGAUUUAUUUCAAUGAACGGGCGAAACUCUUAUAUAACUAAACUUAAGUUAUAAACUGCUAAGAAUAUCUUGGAGGAAGGAAGGAAUGACGUCAAGUCUUUAUGACCCUGAUAAAUUGGGCUACUUUCAUGUGUUACAAUAGUUUUUUCAAAGAGUAGCUAAAACGUAAGUUUAAACAAGUCUUUAAAAAUUACUCUGUUCUGAUUAUUUUCUGCAACUCGAAAAUAUAAAGCUGGAAUUGCUAGUAAUCGUAAAUAAGAACGUUACGGUGAAUUUGUUCUUAGGUCUUGUACACACCGCCCGUCACGCUAUGGAAAUUCUAUUUAUUUGAAAACUAAAUUAAGUUUAUAAUAGAGGAAGAACUGAAGUGAAGUCGUAACAAGGUAGCCGUAGGGGAACCUGUGGCUGGAAAAUAAA